RNAcentral lists this ribosomal RNA (5149 nucleotides) under Triticum aestivum (bread wheat). RNAcentral's name for it is "partial small subunit ribosomal RNA". The record is from RNAcentral. Lineage: Eukaryota; Viridiplantae; Streptophyta; Magnoliopsida; Poales; Poaceae.
GCUUUUAUUUGGAUACUUUUAAUCGGUCUGCAACGGGCACGCAACGCUUGCUCGCUCGCUUCGGAAACGGGAGUUCGCUGCGGUGUGGUCUAGGAAGCGGGAGCGUCGGCGGCGGCUAGGGGAGGGAGUUUGCGGCGGCGGGCAGCGACGGCGGGGGCGGUGGAGGGCAGCGCCGGCGGGGCGGUGGAGGACAGCGCCCGUCCGCCCUCCUCGGGACGGGCCGGUACCGCUGUGGCGGCCGCCGGAGGAGGAGGGGGGGUGGAAGAGAGGGAGAGGGUUCCCUCCCUUCCCUUACCUUCCCUAGGCCGCCGUUCCCCUCCUUCGCGGGUCUAGGCGUCGGCGUGGCCGCCCGGCGGCAGGGAGCUCUAGCAGGUCCCUCCAGACUGGGCCGACGUCGGUACGUGACUCUGCGGGCUUUGGGAUCGAUGGGCACCUCCAGGCUGCGGAGUUGGAGGUUCCUUUCCUGCGCGCGGCCGACGUCCGGUAGAGGCCGCUGGAGGCUGGUACCAACGAGCCUAGACCUGGUCGACGACGAGGAUGACGAAGUCCACCUGCUCCUGCUCGGGAGGGAGUACCGACGACGCCGACGGAUGAGGGAGGAGGAUGGGGGACAGGACCACACCUCUCGUCAUAAGAAGGUAGGGGUUAGUCUUUAUCGACGAUUGACUCGCGUAGUCAAUCUUCUCUUCAAUCUCGACUGCCCUCACCACGAUUGUCAAAGGUGUUAUUAGCGGACUGUCUAUUUAUAUAUAGAAGAGUAAAAAGUCUAAAACAACAAGUUAGGUCAAUUUAGAUAAUCGAAUGACAAACACCAUAUUGAUAAAGAUCUUAAAUGUUACACCAAAGGUACGGAUAACUAAAUUGAACUACUCUUUUUAAUUUGGAUACAAUAAGUUUUAAAUCACCCCUGGCAAGAACUAAAAAAUUACGUGACGGAUCUUCCAUCGAGACUUAUUUAGAAGAUAUUUUAUUUGUAUAAAAUAACAAUUUAAAACAUAAAAAUCUUCGUCUAUGGUAAGUAACAAAAAAGUAAAUGUUGACGUGUACAAGCCAAUACACAGGUAUAUACGCCAUGCCUCAAAAUCUAUACUUCGUUUGUCAAGUUCCAUAAAGCAUAACCAUCUCGAAUUAGGCACUACACACUACGAAAGAUUAUCGUGACAUAUAACAUAUUAAAUUGUAUAUUGAGCAAUAUUAAGACACUCACUUAAGGCCGAAAAUGGGGGAUUAAUUGGUAAAAGCUGUGAUAAAUGGGGUAAAUUGUUUAAAAGUAGGUCUAAUGGGGUAAAUCACUGUUAGAACAGACAAGAAUGGGGAAAAUUUAAAAUUCUCGGAAGAACGUUUCUAGUACAAUUAAAAUGAGCUCUGAUUCACGGGUUUAUAUGUAAAAAUAAUUUUGUUUUUUUUAGACUAGGAUAGUACAGUUAUUGAAAAAAAAAACGUUCUUAGUACAGUUAUUGACCAUCAUGAUUAAAAGUUACCUGUGUGUAGUAACCUCGAGUGAUUUUUUGUGUACAUGCUGUUAUCGCUGUUAUCGUGGCGUCUGUACAUUUUAUCUGACACCACAAAAACAAACUACUAGAGGGUUUCGAAUUUUAUUCACCAAGGAGGCUACAAAACGUAGUUUCUUCUUUUGUUUUUAUAGUAGUGUACUUUGGAUCUUUGGCUCAUGCUUUCACAAUACGCGGCCCGGGCUGGAGGAGACCGCGAGGGCGCUCGCCGUCCCCUCCGUUUGGGAUGGCGGCGGCGAUCCGGGGGAGGAGGGGAGGUGGGAGGGAGCGUCGGCGGUCUCCGGCACCGGCUCGCUGCGGGGCUGCCGCGGCCGCGGCCGACCGUACAAGUUCACAGCCGACCGCGCAUCUGCCGAACACAGCCGGAAGCUAAGGAGAGGAACAGCAGGCCCGCGAUGAAACCAGCUUCCUAACCUGGAAAGGGUCGUCGCCAGGUAGCGAGCAGAGCGCGGGCUAUCGUCCUGGCUGGAGCAGAGUGCGGGAUGUUGUGCUGGCUGGAGCAGAGUGCGGGCCACGUCGUCCUGCCCAGCUACCUCCGGUCAAAACCGACCGGAUAACCCAGAGCCGCGACCCCCGAUGGGUCCCCACACUUUCCGCCCCGGAAAGGUGAGCAGAGAAAACAACCCCAUGGUCGCCCAGAGCCCACUCCACCACAGUUUCCAGAACCUACGGUCCCGCCACCGGGACCACCACCAUCGUGCCACGUGUACCCGUCUCGGACACCGAGCCACAACGGGCCACCGGUACCGGCCCACCCGCCACACCAGCGGCCCCACACCGCAAGCCACCGGCACUCACAACUGACCCCACUUUUGGACAAGCUAGAAGUCUGCCUGGCCGCCGCCGCUUCCAGCAAGGGAAGGACUUCCGUAGCAGCGUCGAGAGUAACGGGUAGCACAACGAGGUUCCCUUUGAGACUGGGAGUACAGCCCACCACCACCGGGAAAGCAUAGCAUUGGAAGGACUUCCACGGUGGAACCUAGGGUGCCAAACAGCAUACGCCGAAGUCAAGAAGCGCUAUCGCACAAGUGACAACUCCUGGGACCAAUGAGAACAUCACGAUCCCCACCACAACUACACGAGUCACGGAUACAUAGUACGGCACCCACACACGCACACAAUGCCACAACACGCAAAUAUGACCAACACCUACUACAACGAAAUAUAUAUUUCGUCCCGCUUUCGAAAAAACCCAUUGGAUGUUUGGCGUUGGGUGUUACGUUUUAACUUGCAUGAACUGGCGGCUUCUAUUGACAAAGAGAAAGGGAGCUACACCACGAGUGCAUGGACUGUCGGUACUCUUCUUUUUACCCACGCCGAUUUGGUUCACUGGCCCAGCCCGUAACCUUUUUUACGGUUCUUUAGACUACCGCCCCUCAAUCGAUCGUCUAGUGAGAGUUUUUAGAAUGACCCCAUUUUUGACUGUUCUGAAAACGAUUUACCCCAUUAACCCUACUUUUUUACAAAUUACCCCAUUGAUCACAGUUUUUACACCUUCAUUUCCCAUUUUUGACCUUAAGUGAGAUUAAGACAAUUCAGCAUGAAUAUGUAGAAUGUUGGUUGUACACAUCACUAGAUGAGUCGGUGGAAGAAUUUUCACUUUAAAGAACGGUUAAUAUCGACGUACGUUCUUAACUAAAAGAUAGACCAUCGAUGAUCAUACAAAAUCUUCCCUCUAAUGAAACGAAGCUCCAUGUCCUACAACACUAUAAACAAAAAUAGCGGAAGAACAUAAAGACUGUAACUGAAGGAAGAAAAGGAAAGUAAGAGUCACUUGUUUCCUUCGGAACGCGGUUCCUCUUCGCCUGCACCACAAGCUGAUCCGGUUUCUCUCCUGUCCUCUCCUGGUGUCUCUCGUUUCCUCUCCUAUCUUAGUCUCGUGGCAGUGAGUCCGCACCCAUUUAGGCUAGUACCACGAAGUCCAAGUCCCAGACGGAACGAUACUAUGUUACGCCCUCCUCUAGUUGUACUUCUCGUUCCAGAGGACUAGGUUCAGGGGACAGUCCUUCACCAAGUUGUAGUUCCCGUUCCGCGUCCUAAAGGUACGCCUAUUGCUACGAUGAUGGGUUCCUGCCCUACUUCCACUAAUUGCCUCCUGGUCGACGAACGUCUCCCUGUGUCCGCGACGGUUCUUUUCGUCUUGACUUGCCAGCAACUUCGUUUUAUAGCUAGUACAAGCAUCUAGUCCCUUACUUAAACUACACAGUGCGGACUGUUUUCGGGUUCUAAUGUCUUAGAAACACCGCUGCACCUUACAACCACCGGUUACGGGUAGUUCCCCCAACUUAAAUCUACUGACUGAGGUAACAAGUGGGGGACAACUAUAGAUACACGAGCCCAUAGUGAAUAAUGCUCCUGUGAUUUGUUCUUGCGACCCAGAUCGUAAGUACGACCGAUAGUGUGCGGUAAGGGACAGGGACUAGGCCAACACCUUGAUCUACGACUAAAAUUCCAUAGUAACGCUUCUGUACUAUCGAGUAGUAAAAGGUGGUGAUAGUAAGGCUUUGGAAUCAGCCUCAAAUUCCCAAAGUCCUUUACUAUACAAGAGUGUUGGUUAUAACCGGGCAUCCAAAUCACACACGCUGGGACAAUUGUAUCCUAAGUCCGGCUCGCUAAAACUAUCUUUAAAGUUCACAUAGCCUAGUGGUCAACUACUCAUAUAACUCCUCCCAUGUUCAUUACCUCGUAUAAAAAGUGGUAAGGGUAUACCAAUACCAUGAAUUUGUGGAUACCUUCUUCUACUUCUCGUCGGUUUAUGAAGAUCCACAGGUCCAUAACAAACCAACGGUCGUUUGUCUACCAACCGUCUAAAGAGUGUAAAACCCAUGGUCCGUAGCGGCUCCUCUUCAAGUUCCGGUGGUAGACGAUAGAGGCCCCCUUUGGGAUCUAGUCAUCUAGUCUACUACCGCCGCGAUAAAACACAGCAAAGGAGAGCCCCCGCAGUCAGAACCUCCACAAGUGCCCUAGCUCCCUGGUCACCCGCCGAAGAAACCACAUCGCCACGAAGUAGAAUUAGUAACUACCGUCGUCCAGAGCCGCCGCACCACGUCACCUCUGAACCGCGGGCUACGCGCCUCUACCUGAGCGCGUCCUCCUCCAUCGACAGACCGCAGUACCACUGCAGCUACCGCCUCACCGGAAGUGUUCCAUCUUCUGAGUUAUAUAAGACUUCUGCCUGGACACCUUCUACCGACGCUGCUGUGUUCUCACACAGACUGGCCUAACACGGGGUCUGGGCCAUACACCGAGCCGACCCCGACGGCCGAAAACUACAAUCCAAAUCCACUCACCAAACCCAUCACCGGGUUGAUCGUAGGGAAGUAGUAUACCUAUUCUCAUCGCCGUAUACAACGGCUCUACCACCUAAGUCCUUAUAACAGACAUUAUGAAACAUUCCAGGAGCUCUUAUUAAUUAUUUCACCGGCAUACGUAGAGGGUCUACGUCUCCGGCCCCCAGUAGGAGGUAAAGAUUUUUUUUCUAUUCUCGUCGGAGUAUCAAACCCACGUAGUGUAUUAAUGAUACAUACUUGACAGGAUCUUGAUUAGUGUACAUGUGAACAUCCGAAGUCUCACAACAAAGACUUCUUGGUGUAAGUUCAGUAAUUUAGCUAAAAUACUUCUCUAAGAGAGUCAAGAAC